This is a long non-coding RNA of Catharus ustulatus (Swainson's thrush), 1331 nucleotides long. RefSeq lists it as uncharacterized. The transcript has 2 exons. The record is from RefSeq and is a predicted model, not a curated record. NCBI's taxonomy places the organism in Eukaryota, Metazoa, Chordata, Aves, Passeriformes, Turdidae.
UCCCCGGCCCCGGGCUUUACACCCUCGGCUCUCGGGCAAAAAGUCCUGGGAGGGUUGGAGGGAGGGAAACUCGGCUGAAUAUUUAGGGAUGAAUUGAACUGUGCAAACACGCCUUUGGGAAGCUCGCGGUGCAGCGCCUUGGAUCAGCUGCCCGCCGGGGCUGGAACGCAACCGCUGCGCUUGAAAGGGCGACUUUCACGCUGAAGCAAAACGGGACAAAGGAAGAUAAAUGAAACGGGCUCCCGGCAGGGUUUGAUGAGCGUGGUAUAUCCUGAUGAUUUUCCAUGGAGCUGGCAGCAAAUCUGCCGAGAUUUGUCCAAGUGGGGACAUCCCAGGACCGGGCAAACUGUGGGUACGAGCGCUGAUGUGUCAGCCCUCUCCAUCCCAUCCAUCCCAUCCCAGGACAAGGAACAGCGCUCAUCUCCACCGUGUGCGUGCUCGGGGAUGGAUCCCUGCUGAGUGCAGAGCCUGCCCGUGGCUGAUCCCGUGAGAUGGACGUGAAUUCGGGAUUAGGGAUUGCAGGGUGGACACAGCCAGGCUGAUAUAGCAGCUCGUUUGAUUUUAAAGAUUAGAAGAUCCCCAUAGCAAGCCUCUUGAAAAUUCCCUUUCCCUCCGGAUUUUAGGCAAGCAGAUUUAACACCGCAACAUUUCUCUAGUGUGAGCUGAGUAAGCAAAAUUUAAUAAUCAGCUGCAUAAUAGUUUAGAUUAAAUCAAAGAGCAAGAGCAGCGUCGCCUUUAAAACAUUUGAAUAACAUUUAAUAUCCUCUGUAGCAUUUACUUUUCACAAGCCUCUGCAAAACCGCCAAAUGCUCACAGAAAUUUGGCAAACUGACUUCUGCACAAAUCCAGCCCCUCAGUUGAGCUGUUUGUUAGUCUCCACUUCGCAAAGUUUCACCCAAUCAACAACAACAAAAAAAAUCCCAACAAAACCCCAGACAGCGCCUCACGUGCUGGGGGCGACCAAAGAAAUCCCCUGAUUUGGGUGACCAAUGAAUGUCCCCAGCAGUGAAAAGCGAACAAUUUGUCGGCAGCCCCUGCACUUGAAAACGAAUGAUCCAAAUUAUUCAGUGAGUCUCCCUGGAUAGUGAAUCCAUUGAAAGGGGAUCGAGACAGAGUCAUAAAUUAUUCAUUACCCAGAAGAGAAUGAAAUGCAUAUAAUCAUAACAAUAAUAAUAACAACAACAAUCGUUACACUAAUAAUAGCAACCAGAGGCCAGGCAGCUCUGCCCGGAGAACCAGAGAGCCAUGAAACCUCCCAGACUUUAUUUUCCAUUUACCCCAGCCCCUAUUUAGAGCAGCUGUGUUAAAUAAAGGAAUGUGAAGUGGCUCGA